This 253-nucleotide ribosomal RNA is filed under the name uncultured Paracoccaceae bacterium. RNAcentral's name for it is "uncultured Rhodobacteraceae bacterium partial 16S ribosomal RNA". It matches the Rfam family "Bacterial small subunit ribosomal RNA", at positions 524 to 776 of the family's 1533-position model. The record is from RNAcentral. Lineage: Bacteria; Pseudomonadati; Pseudomonadota; Alphaproteobacteria; Rhodobacterales; Paracoccaceae.
UACGGAGGGGGCUAGCGUUGUUCGGAAUUACUGGGCGUAAAGCGCACGUAGGCGGAUCAGCAAGUUAGGGGUGAAAUCCCGGGGCUCAACCCCGGAACUGCCUUUAAAACUGUUGGUCUGGAGUUCGAGAGAGGUGAGUGGAAUUCCGAGUGUAGAGGUGAAAUUCGUAGAUAUUCGGAGGAACACCAGUGGCGAAGGCGGCUCACUGGCUCGAUACUGACGCUGAGGUGCGAAAGCGUGGGGAGCAAACAGG